UUUCCGUAGGUGAACCUGCGGAAGGAUCAUUAUUGUAUAACCGAGUUCCGAGGGCUUUCGCUCACCCGACAUGUCGUGCACGCCCGAGUGCCCGCACACACAACAAUCGCACCCCUCUGUGCACCACCCCUAGGGUCUCCCUUUGUCUUUUACGUCGGGGGACUUACGUUUUCACACAAACUUUUUAAACAGUGGAUCAUGUGUUUUUUGUUUUUGCGAUCACGCAGGCAAUACAACUUUCAACAACGGAUACCUUGGCUCUCGCAUCGAUGAAGAACA
RNAcentral lists this unclassified non-coding RNA (279 nucleotides) under plant metagenome. Its description in RNAcentral is "partial contains small subunit ribosomal RNA, internal transcribed spacer 1, and 5.8S ribosomal RNA". The stretch from base 235 to 279 matches the Rfam family "5.8S ribosomal RNA", at positions 1 to 45 of the family's 154-position model. The record is from RNAcentral.